RNAcentral lists this transfer RNA (73 nucleotides) under Bacteroidia bacterium. RNAcentral describes it as "tRNA-Arg". It matches the Rfam family "tRNA". From Rfam's summary of the family: Transfer RNA (tRNA) molecules are approximately 80 nucleotides in length. Their secondary structure includes four short double-helical elements and three loops (D, anti-codon, and T loops). The record is from RNAcentral. RNAcentral also lists the same sequence under 1 other name. Lineage: Bacteria; Pseudomonadati; Bacteroidota; Bacteroidia.
GCCCCCGUAGCUCAACAGGAUAGAGCGUUGGCCUCCUAAGCCGAAGAUCCAGGUUCGAGUCCUGGCGGGGGCA